GUAGGUGGCAAGCGUUGUCAGGAAUUAUUGGGCGUAAAGCGCGCGCAGGCGGUUCUUUAAGUCUGAUGUGAAAGCCCACGGCUCAACCGUGGAGGGUCAUUGGAAACUGGAGAACUUGAGUACAGAAGAGGAAAGCGGAAUUCCACGUGUAGCGGUGAAAUGCGUAGAGAUGUGGAGGAACACCAGUGGCGAAGGCGGCUUUCUGGUCUGUAACUGACGCUGAGGCGCGAAAGCGUGGGGAGCAAACAGGAUUAGAUACCCUGGUAGUCCACGCCGUAAACGAUGAGUGCUAAGUGUUAGGGGGGUUUUCCGCCCCCCUUAGUGCUGCAGCUAACGCAUUAAGCACUCCGCCUGGGAGUACGGCCGCAAGGCUG
RNAcentral lists this ribosomal RNA (374 nucleotides) under uncultured organism. RNAcentral's name for it is "partial 16S ribosomal RNA". It matches the Rfam family "Bacterial small subunit ribosomal RNA", at positions 527 to 896 of the family's 1533-position model. The record is from RNAcentral.